RNAcentral lists this unclassified non-coding RNA (343 nucleotides) under soil metagenome. RNAcentral's name for it is "partial contains 5.8S ribosomal RNA, internal transcribed spacer 2, and large subunit ribosomal RNA". The stretch from base 1 to 120 matches the Rfam family "5.8S ribosomal RNA", at positions 35 to 154 of the family's 154-position model. The record is from RNAcentral.
GAUGACGAACGUAGCGAAAUGCGAUAAGUAAUGUGAAUUGCAGAAUUCAGUGAAUCAUCGAGUUUUUGAACGCAUAUUGCGCCCUCUGGUAUUCCGGGGGGCAUGCCUGUUCGAGCGUCAUUAAAUAACCCUCAAGCAUAGCUUGGUGUUGGGCUUUUUUACGUCCUUGACUGGGAUGGGCCUAAAAAUUAGUGGCGAUGGCUUUUUUACUUUCAAGCGUAGUAAAUCUCGUCUUGCUAAAGAGGAAAAAGAUUUUUUUUCUGCCAAAAAUUUUAACAUUUAAAGUUGACCUCGGAUCAGGUAGGAUUACCCGCUGAACUUAAGCAUAUCAAUAAGCGGAGGA